GACACAUCUCCAGAGAGCAGGCCAUGACCUUGAGCUUCUCUAGGCCUGUCCACCUCUUAAAAAGCCAUAGUCAGUGACAGCUCUCAAGACCCUGUAUCUUACACAAGAGGUUUUUCAGGCUCUGCUUGAUGGCCUACAUCCAGUGACCAGGAACUCGCCACCUCCUGAGGAGGUUGAGGUCACUCUCGCUCAUCUCCAGCUACUGAAAGCUCUUCCUUGUGUGGAGCCCAAGGAUCUACCCUCACUUCAGAGGCUUCCGCUACCAGUCAUUGCUAGAGAAGAUGGGCACAUAAAAGCAAAGCAGGUUAAAUCUUCAAGGCUUGGCAUGGACUCAGAAAACCCUCAGAACUCUGUGAGUACUGCUGUGGGGACAACCUGCCUAUUCAAUUCAACUUGUUGCCUUCCUCUCCAGAAUGUGGGGAAAUCCAGGGCAAAUAAGAACUCUCACAUCAACGACCUCUAGCAC
Ictidomys tridecemlineatus (thirteen-lined ground squirrel) is the source of this 466-nucleotide non-coding RNA. The record is from RefSeq and is a predicted model, not a curated record. NCBI's taxonomy places the organism in Eukaryota, Metazoa, Chordata, Mammalia, Rodentia, Sciuridae.